AAACUAACAAGGAUUCCCCUAGUAGCGGCGAGCGAAGCGGGAAGAGCUCAAAUUUGUAAUCUGGCGCUUUCAGCGUCCGAGUUGUAAUCUCUAGAAAUGUUUUCCGCGUUGCACCGCACACAAGUCUGUUGGAAUACAGCGGCACAGUGGUGAGACCCCCGUUCAUGGUGCGGAUGCGCAAUGCUUUGUGAUACAUUUUCGAAGAGUCGAGUUGUUUGGGAAUGCAGCUCAAAUUGGGUGGUAAAUUCCAUCUAAAGCUAAAUAUUGGCGAGAGACCGAUAGCGAACAAGUACCGUGAGGGAAAGAUGAAAAGCACUUUGGGAAAGAGAGUUAACAGUACGUGAAAUUGUUGGAAGGGAAACGCUUGAAGUCAGACUUGCUGUUCGGAGUUCAGCCGCAAGGGUGUACUCUCCGAGUUGCAGGCCAGCAUCAGUUUUUCGGGGUGGAAAAUCACGGUUUGAAGGUAGCAGUUUCGGCUGUGUUAUAGCUUUCCGUUGGAUACAUCCUGGGGGACUGAGGAACGCAGUGUGCUUUUAGCAGGGGUUUCGACCUCUUCACACUUAGGAUGCUGGUGGAAUGGCUUUAAACGAC
RNAcentral lists this ribosomal RNA (591 nucleotides) under Rhodosporidiobolus colostri. RNAcentral describes it as "eukaryotic LSU rRNA". It matches the Rfam family "Eukaryotic large subunit ribosomal RNA", at positions 62 to 648 of the family's 3401-position model. Lineage: Eukaryota; Fungi; Basidiomycota; Microbotryomycetes; Sporidiobolales; Sporidiobolaceae. The record is from RNAcentral.